RNAcentral lists this ribosomal RNA (460 nucleotides) under uncultured bacterium. RNAcentral's name for it is "partial 16S ribosomal RNA". It matches the Rfam family "Bacterial small subunit ribosomal RNA", at positions 338 to 795 of the family's 1533-position model. The record is from RNAcentral.
CCUACGGGUGGCAGCAGUGAGGAAUAUUGGUCAAUGGGCGCGAGCCUGAACCAGCCAAGUAGCGUGAAGGAUGACUGCCCUACGGGUUGUAAACUUCUUUUAUAAAGGAAUAAAGUGAGGCACGUGUGCCUUUUUGUAUGUACUUUAUGAAUAAGGAUCGGCUAACUCCGUGCCAGCAGCCGCGGUAAUCCGGAGGAUCCGAGCGUUAUCCGGAUUUAUUGGGUUUAAAGGGAGCGUAGAUGGGUUGUUAAGUCAGUUGGGAAAGUUUGCGGCUCAACCGUAAAAUUGCAAUUGAUACUGGCAGUCGUGAGUACAGUUGAGGUAGGCGGAAUGCGUGGUGUAGCGGUGAAAUGCUUAGAUAUCACGAAGAACUCCGAUGGCGAAGGCAGCUUACUAAACUGCCACUGACAUUGAUGCUCGAAAGUGUGGGUAGCAAACAGGAUUAGAUACCCGGGUAGUC